UGCCAGCAGCCGCGGUAAUACAGAGGUGACAAACGUUGUCCGGAAUCACUGGGCGUAAAGGGCAUGCAGGUGGUUUGGUAAGUCAGGUGUGAAAUCUUCGGGCUCAACCCGGAAAUUGCACUUGAUACUGCUAAACUUGAGUUCGGUAGAGGAGGGCGGAAUUCCUGGUGUAGCGGUGAAAUGCGUAGAUAUCAGGAGGAACACCGGUGGCGAAGGCGGCCCUCUGGUCCGAUACUGACACUGAGAUGCGAAAGUGUGGGGAGCAAACAGGAUUAGAUA
Molecule: ribosomal RNA, 279 nt
Filed under: uncultured bacterium
Lineage: Bacteria
Description: partial 16S ribosomal RNA
Rfam family: Bacterial small subunit ribosomal RNA
Source: RNAcentral